CUCUACUACUAAUAAAAGAGCAAACAUUAUCUUCUCUUCACGCACCCCAUUAAACGUACACAGACCUAUUACCACCCUACGAUUAGGCCCACUAAAAUCAAUCUAAUGGUCAACCUUAACCUCAUGUGUUGAUUGGGGUGCACUUAAUAAUUUACACACGGACGGACUGUUCCACCGCAGAGGAAAUCACCUCCACAUCCCUCCCAAUCAUCAAUCACACGCAGGGAAACAAAUAACUUCCCAUCGCUACACCAUACCAUACUGGAAGGGAACACCUGAAAUCACGCAUCAUCAGGAAGGAAACAAUUAUCCCAUCUCUGCAUCAUAGCACCGUCGCCCCGACCUCGCCGCCCGACAGAUCCCCUCGCCCUGGGGCAACAUCGUCUGCUUCCGGAACGACGCCCUCGCCGCCCUGCACCGUACCGUACCGUGGGCAGCCGUUCCUCCGUCGUCACCUCCUCGCUACCGGCAAGUCCCUGAAGGCCUAAGGUGAGCAGAAUUUAUGAUACAGUCAAUCUACUAACCGCACCAUCUUGCUUGACAUCAAUAAAAACCAAAAAUCUUGAGCAUGUAUCCUGCAUAAACAUAACAAGCAUGUUUAUUCAUAAUAAUAUUGUGUGUACGUGAAUGCUAUUUGCCACUAAUAUGCUUUAAUUCAACCCUCUUGGCAGAUUGUACUAAUACGCGGCGGUAUGUCAUCUCCCAAUCGCGCGGGGGCACACACCCCCUUUCAGGAUAUAACCAACUCCCACUCCGUGGGUAAUUAACUGCCUACUAAAUGCUAUGGUUUUUCUUGAAUGAUGAACACCGUUAUUGCUUAUGCGCUAACUUUCUGUUUGUAUUUAUAGACCCUAAGGAAUUGAAGAGGCAGCGGGACAGAGAAUACUAUGCACGAAAUAAAGAUGCCAUUCUCAAACGGCGUCGUGAUGCACGCCAAAAUAACGGGACUCCAAAAGCGCUGCCUAAUGACCAGCAAAGUGUGCCACAUACACCCCUGGCCAUGACCCAAAGUAAAAAUAACCUUGUACUGUUGGCUUAUGUUCUGUUGUUCAGGUAACAUUUUGAGACUCUGAAUUAUAACUAUAAUGUAUCAUAGAUGUAGAUCAUAUGGAGCAAAAGAGGCAACUGGAAAGGGAACGGUAUUCACAAAAUAGGGAUGACAUAAUAAAAAGACAACGUCAAGCCUACGGUCAGAAAAAAUUGUCUCAGGCUUCUACAGGGACCGGUGCCCAGAAAGAUGAAACACAAACACCGAUGUCCACAUCCAUUGGUAAUGACAAUCAACGCAUUACAUAUGCCCCUAACUGUUGAAGCUAAUUAGCUUUUUGCAUCUAUGUAGACCCUAAAGAGUUAAGGAGGCAAAGGGACAGGGAGCGGUAUGCACAAAACAGGGAUGAAAUAUUAAGAAGAAAACGCCAAUCCCGUGAACAGUCAAAGACAUCUAUUGCCACCGUUAACAGUGUUGACAAUGUGUCACGCACACCAGCUACAGGACAAUCGGGUGUCAGCCAGCUACAAACAAUAUCAUUUGCAGGUUUUGUGCUACCAUCAAAUAGUCAUUUCCUUUUAUUAUCUCGCAUAUUAUUAAGAGAUACUCCCUCCGUCUCAACAUAAGUGUCUCAACUUAAAUACAACUUUGCACUAAAGUUAGUAUAAAGUUGAGACACUUAUUUCAGGACGGAUGGAGUAUAUUAAUAUAUGCACUGAUGUGGUGACACCAAAUUUCUUGCAGGCUUAUCAAACAUGCCAACUUCAUCCCAAUCACAUGAAGGGAUCCCUCCUCACAAGGACAAUAUUUUAGGAAACAUUGAUGAAUCCAAUUGGUUGCAUAGGAAUGAUGCAUAUCAGAUGGUAGAAAUUGCAGGGAGACUGAGAGCUGUUGUUGUACCUCUUGGUCAUGAAACGCAAACAAUUUCCAAUGUCACUGCAGAUAUUGCACCAGGUAUAUCAUUAGGCAUUUGUACAGUGUAAGGAACAAUAUUGCUAUAAUCACGCAUCAAUAUUACUUAUAGUGUAAAUGUGUUUACCGUAAUCUGGGUUCUCUUUCAUUUUUAAUGUAUAGUGCCUCUUAAUGCCUCCAAUCAACCUCAAAAGUCCAUGGCUAAUGAUAGGCGAGGAGUAGAACCAACAACAGAGACUGCUCAAAACACUCAAAAUAUGCAAGGUAGUUUUGCCGACCCUACGUCUACUAGAACACCUAUAUUGUUAUGUCGUACUGAUCUUAUGAUUUUCCAUAGUGGGCAACGACCAGACAGCUGAUCCAUAUGGAAUAUUUGAGCCUCCUGUUCAACAAACCAAUUUUCAAGGUACAUUAUAUAUACCGUCGUUCCCAUUUGAAUGUCUUCAUCCAUAAAUUUGAGGAAUUUAUAUUUGACCAACAUAUUGCGUACUAGAUUACAUGGAGCCACUGCAGAAUGGAGAAGCCGCAUACCAUGAUCCUGAUGAAGAAGCUAUACUAUUUAUAGGUCAGGGUAUGUCCAUUAUGUAUUUUCCAACUUAGCACCCUCAAGUGCACACUUUAGUUGUAUUGAGUGAUAAUUUAAUACCUACUGUCCUUCUGUGCUAGAUGUUGCUUUCGAGUCGUACCAGCUUGGACGCCAGAAUGCACAAGUAGGACCUGUAGCAGUGAUUGAUGAAUUCAUAUACCGAAACCUACCUACAAAGCACCAUGUCCUAAAAAAGGUUGCAGACUGCCUUCACUGUGGGGCUUUGCGGUUUCCAUUCGAGGGGCCAGCAUUUUGUUGCAGAAAAGGAAAAGUCAAUAUAUUUACUCCAGAGGUUCCAGAAGAGUUGAAACGGUUGUUUACAUGUCAAGCUGAUGAGGAUGCUAAAUAUUUCAGAGAGCAUAUACGAUAUUUCAACUCGCACUUCUCAUUCACAAGUUUAGGAGUCACCCUUGAUCGCCGAGUCAGCAAUGCGGCAGGAACUGGAGUAUAUACUUUUCGUGCGUGUGGCGGGUUGUACCACGCUCUUGAUGAUCUGGUGCCGGCUGAUAAUGGCCCUCGACAUUUCCAACUCUAUAUUUAUGAUACAGAUGAAAACUUGGUUCACAGGGCUAAGAGAUCUCCAGACCUUAAGAUAGAUCUCAUACGGAAGAUUCUGCGAAUACUAGAGCCUAACCCUUAUGCGCAAGUUUUCAAGAGCCUUGGGUCUGUUCCAAAUCUAGAUGAGUAUAGGAUCUCACUAAACGGAUAUCAAGCUGGAUCAACGAAGGUACAAUGCCCCAACGGCUUCUCAGGUGGCAGCGAUAUGGGUUGAAGGGAGUGACCCACAAAAUUGCUUUGACAGGAGUGUUGUCGUGCAUGGAAAAAAAAGGAGAACGGCCCCUCUAUAUUAGAGCAUACUAUGGGUGCUAUGACCCGUUGUCUUAUCCCCUAUUCUUCCCACGUGGGGAGAUUGGUUGGAAUCGUUGGAUGCCAUAUGUUGGUCUCCCCGAUAACAGGACCCAUCAUUCAUCAGAUAAUACUACACCACAAGGAAACCAAGACAUUGAUAUACAUACAGGUAUGUGUUCAUUAACAAGGGUUAGGCUUGCUAUUAUUAAUGUAAACUUAUGUUUUCAUCUAUCUAUCAGAGGAAAACUUGAUUGCGAACAAGUUGGGAAUUUUGUAGCACAUGAAGACCAUGCCACUGAUUUACCUACAGGUAUCGGUCAUCAUUUCUUAUUCUUCAAUUCUUAUUGUGUCAAUCAUUAUGAGUCCAGCCAGC
RNAcentral lists this long non-coding RNA (3708 nucleotides) under Triticum aestivum (bread wheat). Its description in RNAcentral is "long non-coding RNA (TAES_LNC021497)". The record is from RNAcentral. Lineage: Eukaryota; Viridiplantae; Streptophyta; Magnoliopsida; Poales; Poaceae.